GGGAUGGGUCGUGGUAUUCAGCCACCGCAGUUCCCGAUGAACCCUCAGUUCCAAAUGCUGAACAACAGACCACAAGCUCCAGUGAACCCACAGUUCCCAAUGCAACCGCAGUUUCCAGUGAACCCUCAGUUCCAAAUGCGAAACAACAACAGGCCACAGUCUCCAAUGAACCCAUAUUUCCAAAUGCAACCGCAGUUCCCAAUGAACCCUCAGUUCCAAAUGCGGAACAACAACAGGCCACAGUCUCCAGUGAACCCAUAUUUCCAAAUGCAACCGCAGUUCCCAAUGAACCCUCAGUUCCAAAUGCUGAACAACAACAGAUCACAGUCUCCAAUGAACCC
RNAcentral lists this long non-coding RNA (341 nucleotides) under Brassica rapa (field mustard). Its description in RNAcentral is "long non-coding RNA (BRAP_LNC006212)". The record is from RNAcentral. Lineage: Eukaryota; Viridiplantae; Streptophyta; Magnoliopsida; Brassicales; Brassicaceae.